Molecule: unclassified non-coding RNA, 281 nt
Filed under: Hevea brasiliensis (rubber tree)
Lineage: Eukaryota; Viridiplantae; Streptophyta; Magnoliopsida; Malpighiales; Euphorbiaceae
Source: RNAcentral
GGUAAAAAUCAAAUGACUGUGCAAUACUGCAUCCAACACAAAGGCAGGCAUCCUGGUCAAUGCUAUUCAAAAGAGCAACACUUCAAUGCUGUUAAAAAAAGAGUGGUCUAAUUGCUUCAACAUAAUUUCUAGGUAAGUCAUAUCGUCUACUGUAUUUCACAUCAUAAUUAAUUUGACUUUUUAGGGAGGGUCCACAUGGUCACUGACAUUAAAGGUAAGUGUAUGACGUGCACUCAACAUCAUAUAGCUCAAAAAUAAUCAACACCAUCACACAAUCUUUC